RNAcentral lists this long non-coding RNA (1310 nucleotides) under Bemisia tabaci. Its description in RNAcentral is "lncRNA ENSSSA3NGG005357". The record is from RNAcentral. Lineage: Eukaryota; Metazoa; Arthropoda; Insecta; Hemiptera; Aleyrodidae.
CUAGCUGGCCUAGUUCUCGUUCAUGAGAGUAUAAGUGAGCCUCACCGCGCGAAUGAAGGCCUAGGUGCAACGUUCAAAAUUACAAAAUCAGAAACACUCUCAGAGAAAUUUAAACAAUAUCUUGGACCAGCAGCGGAGAAAGACAUCAUGGUGAAAAUGAACGACAUAAAGUGGCCAAAAAGUGUACCGAAAGAAUUCGACCUUCGGAAAGAGCACCCGGAAUGCGCUGACUUAUUCAGCCAAGCUCAGGAUGAAGGUGCAUGUGACACAGAUGCGCCGGCGAUCGUCUCUUCCAUUCUCGCGGACAAGUAUUGCAUCCAGGCGGGAGGUAAAAAGAAGGAGCAGUUUUCUGCCGACUUCCUCGUGCGCUGCGCUGAAAAGUGCAGGGAAACAGCAUGGAUUGCGAUGUCCUGGAUCUGGGCCUGGAAUUACGGAGUGCCCACUGGUGGAGAUUACAACUCGGAUAUUGGAUGCCAGCCAUAUCUUACAAGCCAUGCAAGCACACGCUAGAAAAAUACAUCGCCAAAAAGAUGAGAGUUAUGAGCAGUAAGUCGGACGUCGAUAGGAGGGACGGAUUGGAGGAAUGCAGGCACGCAUACUCUAAAGUGAAGCAGAACAAAUGCACUGUAAAGUGCACCAACACCAAUUACGAAUACAAAGACAUGAAAAAACCGCACUGUUCGAUUCCAGGAUUGGUACUUCCUACCAGAAAACGACGAAGAGGCAAUGAAGAAAGAGAUAAUAGCACGUGGAUCUAUUGCUGUAGGCUUCACAUUGUACGAUGAUUUCUUCAAGUACAAAAAAGGAAUUUACCGAGUCUCAAAGGGCGCAGAAGAGGCCGCUACGUGGAAACACGCAAAAGUGAUCGGUUGGGGAGAGGAAAAAGGGCAAAAAUACUGGCUGGCAGUGAAUACCUGGUCCAACUUCAAUGGCGGGAACAAAAUAAUCAAGUUCGGAAUAGAUCAAGCCAACAUCCAAGAAUACGUCACAUCAGGACAUCUUUUCGAAGAUGUUCACCCCGAUGAUGAAAAUGACGAUUCUCAAGAAGAAUUUUCAGCGCGCAUCUAAAGACCAAAUUGUUGAGAGAGCAGAUCGUCACUAGCUGAAAUACGCGUCAUAUUACACUUUAGCAUUCAAUGAAAUAUUGUAGUAGUCCACAGUUAGCUUUUCAACGGUGUAACACGUGUAAAAAUACAAUUUUACAUUAUAAUUCCGGCGUUUUCCUUUCCACUCUCUACGUAAAAUGUUUGUUGUCAAUAUCAGCACCUCAACAAAGCUUGGCAUCUGAGGACAAGAUUCUUGGUACUGGC